UGGCCUACGGGGGGCAGCAGUGAGGAAUAUUGGUCAAUGGGCGAGAGCCUGAACCAGCCAAGUCGCGUGAGGGAAGACGGUCCUAUGGAUUGUAAACCUCUUUUGUCGGGGAGCAAAAAGGCCUCGUGAGGCCACAAGUGAGAGUACCCGAAGAAAAAGCAUCGGCUAACUCCGUGCCAGCAGCCGCGGUAAUACGGAGGAUGCGAGCGUUAUCCGGAUUUAUUGGGUUUAAAGGGUGCGCAGGCGGAGGUGCAAGUCAGCGGUCAAAUUGCGGGGCUCAACCCCGUACUGCCGUUGAAACUGCA
RNAcentral lists this ribosomal RNA (305 nucleotides) under uncultured bacterium. RNAcentral's name for it is "bacterial SSU rRNA". It matches the Rfam family "Bacterial small subunit ribosomal RNA", at positions 335 to 637 of the family's 1533-position model. The record is from RNAcentral.